AUUCCGGAACGGGAAGAAGGAGCUGUCUCUCUCUUCUGAGGGGUAGGCAGGUGCUUCCGAAUCGCGGAAUGUAGGUGCUCGUAAGCUGGAGACCCACGGAAAGAACCUAGAAGCUCCGAGCGGUUGCAGACAGCACUGCAUUGAGCCAACGACUCCUGCUCUACUGAUGGUGAUUCCACAGCUUUGUGAGGAAUAAGUUAAGAUGAAUUGCAGUUUCCCCUGGACUUCUUUCUCUCUCCUGCCGCCUUGUGAAGAAGGUGCCUGCUUCCCCUUCCACCACGAUUCUAAGUUUCCUGAAGUCUCCCCAGCCAUGCUGAACUGAUAAGGUCCAUCUUGGCAAAUGGUCUGUGUGCACAAGAAAGAAUGUGAAUUCUGCAGUUGUUGGAAUGUUAUCUUAUCUGGAAGAAGAGGAAUAGGAAAGAAAAGGAGUCAGGAAUGGAUCUUACUCAGAAGGCUGACUAGACACAGCCAGGUGGAAGAGCUCCCACUGCGGGACCAAGAUGACUGGAAUGCCCCUAACAGAUCUUCAGAGGGAAGAAACCAAGAGUGGACAGAGAGAAGACACAGAAGCUGGGCUGAAGGUAGUGAAAGCUGGGAAUGUGGCACAGGACUACUGCACACCAGGUUUUGUUCCUGGCCCACAAUGGCUCUGGGGGAUCAGGUUGAAGGAAAAUUACCCUGGAUGGAAGAUCAGAGGUAUAGAAAGAAAUGGAGAGCAAAGAAAGUGGACUGUGCUGAAUGAGAACUUGUGGUAAUUAUACGUAUUUAUUGUGAGAAGAAUUUUUGCCUGAGACACCAUCAUCAGUCAGACCAUGAGUGUGAAAAACUGGAAAUCCAAAAGUCUCCUAUGGCUGCCUCUCAGAAAAUCGUUAAAGACAUUAUUGAUUCCAAGGCAGAAGAAACAGAUUGAAGCUCAAGGAACAACCCCUUUUUGGGACAUUGUCUUUUUUAUUUACAGAGGGACAAGGAGAUGACACCAUUUCAGUUGGCUCUUAGAAGAUACAUGCAUCAUUGUUGUAUUAAGGAUGAGGUCUUCUUAUGUUGUCCAGGCUGGUCUCAAACUCCUUGGUUCAAGUGAUCCACCUACCUUGACCUCCCAAAGUUCUGCGAUUACAGGCAUGGAGAACACAGAUUUUGAAAAUGGAAACCUGACAUUUACUAUGUAACUUUUGGCCAUUAAACCCUGUAAGGCUCAGUUUCUGCAUCUGAAAAGUGUUAUAAUAGUCCCUACCUCAUGAGGUUGUUGUUAUAAUUAAGUGAAAUAAUCCAUGUGAAGUCCUUAGUGUAGUGAUGAUACAUAAUAAGCAUUAAAUAUAGUCAUUAUUGUUAAUUUAUUGGGCAAGAUUUAUACAGCAAUAUUAUAUGAUAAGGUUAUAGCAGGCAAUCCUUUAGUCUCUAUAUCUUUAAGGGGGAUAUUGUUAGUGAUUUAACAUUAAGCAUGACACUUACGAGAGGUAGAUUUACCUUGAAUGAAGCUCCAGAUUCAGUCUCCCACUUAUGCCUGUCCCUUCCAAAGCUCUGAAUAAUGUGUUUAUAUGAUAAUAUACUUUUGUAAAAUUUGCAAAAGUAAGGCAUUUAAACAUAAUUGGCUAAGAUAACCACUGUUUCUUUCCAUGCUGGCUUCCCCACCAUCAUAUUUCCACUGCUGCCAGUUGGCAUUGGAGUUACUAUGGUUUAACAGUUAUUUAUUGCUAUGUAAAAAAAAAUCUGCCAAACUUAAAACAACAAUCAUUUAUUAGUUCAUAAUUCUGUGGGUGGGCAAUUUUGGCUGGCUUCUGAUGGAUGGUUCUACUGUUGGACUCUCUUGGGCUCAUUCAUGUGGCUGCAGUCAGAUAGUGGGAUGCCUGGGGGGUUGUAGAGUUCCUGAUGGCUUCACUUACUUGUUUGGGGUCACGGGGAACUGAGCUUCAUGUCUCUAGCAUCUAGCAGACUAUCAUGGAUUCUUCACAUGGAAACUAUAUUUCUUUUGCCAAUACCACACUGUCUUGAUUUGCUAUAAUUUUGAGUCCUUCAACUUUUCAUAGUCGUUUUGGCAAUUCUAGUUCUUUUGCUUUCCAUACAAAUUUUGGAAUAAUCUUGUCAAUAUCUGUCAAAAAACCUUGCUGGAAUAUCUACUGGGAUAGUGCUGUAUCUAUAUAUCAAAUUAGGAAGAAUUGAUAUCUUAACAAUUCAGUCUUUGAGUUUAUAAUGUAGUAUAUUUUUCUACUUAUUUAAAUCUUUUUUCGUUUCUUUUAUUGGUGAUUUGUAGCAUUUGGCAUAUAGUACCUGUUCAUAUAUUAUUAGAUUAAUUCCAAAGUAUUUCAAUUUUUUGUGAUAUGGUAAUUUAUAUUUUUAUUAAUUUGAAGAUUCAAAUGUUCAUUGCUAAUAUAUAGAAAUAUGAUUGACUUUUACAUGUAUUCACUUUUGUAUGGCUUGGCUGUGUCCUCACCCAAAUCUCAUCUUGAAUUCCCAUGUGCUGGGGGAGAGACUGCAUGGGAGGUAAUUGAAUCAUGCGGGCAAGUCUUUCCUGUGCUGUUCUUGUGAUAGUGAGUGAGUCUCACGAGAUCUGAUGGUUUUACAAAGAGGAGUUCCCGGGCAUAAGCUCUCUUUCUGCCUGCUGCCAUCCGCACAACAUAUGACUUGCUCCUCCUUGCCUUCCACCAUGAUUGUGAGGCUUCCCCAGCCAUGUGGAACUGUAAGUCCAAUAAACCUCUUUCUUUUGUAAA
Pan troglodytes (chimpanzee) is the source of this 2705-nucleotide RNA transcript. RefSeq lists it as uncharacterized. NCBI's taxonomy places the organism in Eukaryota, Metazoa, Chordata, Mammalia, Primates, Hominidae. The transcript has 8 exons. The record is from RefSeq and is a predicted model, not a curated record.